Non-coding RNA from Danio rerio (zebrafish), 2220 nucleotides. The record is from RefSeq and is a predicted model, not a curated record. NCBI's taxonomy places the organism in Eukaryota, Metazoa, Chordata, Actinopteri, Cypriniformes, Danionidae.
AAUUUAUUACUUAUUAAUUGUAGCUCUUUCAUUUCUUUCUAUGAAUGUAGCUGUGUUAUGCCAAUGUAUGUUAUAUAGUUGUGUCAUGUUUAUGCAUGUAAUUUAGCUGUGUCAUGUUCAUGUAUGUACGUCAAGAGGGGCCAGGGUCUGUGGUGCCAAGGCCAGAUAAUACAGAACGUAAAGGACCACACCCGGCCAAUUCCUAGAACACCAGUUGUUUACACAUGUGUAUAAAAGUGGUUGGAAGGAAAGAGUUGUUGUUGAAGAUGGCCUGAACAUACGUGAGGGACACCUCCAACCCGGAGCUCUGUAUCUAUUGAAUUAUUCAAAUGUAUUCAUUAAAUGGCUAAUACUUUUGCAUUGAAGAAAAACCUCUCCUGACUCUCAUUGAACACGCAGGGAAAUAGUUAAUGACAUCAAAAAAUCCCAACAAUUGGUGACCUCUGACGUGGAGGGGGAGAGAACAUUGAUCUGUCGUGUUGCAUUGACAUCAAGGCAUGCCAAAACAUAAGGUCAUCAUUAUCCAGAACCAGGAGCAGCCUUGACGUGCACUGACAGUGCACCGCUGAUGAACAAGCCAUAUUAUGACAAAUUAACAGCUUUACUCUCAGAUUUUUCUGAACAGAUUUUUGUGAAAUGCCUGGAGGGGGCCUAAGAAAAAGUGGUCCCUACAUCUGAAUAGGUGUUGCUGAAGGUAUUCAAGUGAAAGUGGGAGGAGCCAAGGUGGAUUGGUCUAUAAAGAGUGACAGAGAACAUCACACAGACUGAGGUUACAGGUUAAAGGUGAUACAUGAUAGUAAUGGAAUGUUUAUGUUUUAAACAGAUUCACCAAACUGGCAGCUAAGGAGUACAGAUGGCGGCCAUGAGUAAAAUCAAGGCCGAGAGGGGGAGUGCGUAGCAAAGAACAACAUAAACAAAUGAUUGACCCGCUGCCCUCAUGACAAGAGGGGACGUCUGACUAAAUAGGGAGUGCAAGCAUGUAUUGGGGUAGGAGCUAAACACGCAGUAACCUCGAUACAUGGGAGCAACCUGAUAGUAGUGCAGGCCUACGGAUGACAACGAGGAAGUGUGCUAUCACAAAAGAGGGACAAAGAACAGUGUUCUGUUUGAUCACAAAAGAGAAAGUCACUGAUUUACCAACAGAUGACAAUUUGACCAGAACAUUUGAGGUUUUGAUUUUCAUUUUAAUCAAUGUCUUGAUUCUACCCAUAAUGCUACAACUUUUAAUUUCAUUGUAAAAAGUUUGGACCUUAGCUCUCAAUGAUAUUAUGGUACUUUUGAAUUUUUCAUUGGAGCAUAUUUUUUUACGGGUUUGGAUUCCCUUUUUGAUUGUAAUCAAAUUUUUAAAGCUUGAAAAUUUUAAUUUGAAUUAUAUUGAUAACUAAAAAUAACUGAAUAAAAUAAAUAAUCAUACCUCUUAUGAUAAAGUGCAUAAGGUAGGAAAAUGAAAUUGUGAAAUAAUUGGAAGUUAAUGGGAGUGUUUGGCAAAACAACCCUGAAUAUAGUGGGCAUAAUUUUUAGGAUAAGAAAUGAUUAGAAUGAAGCCAUGGAGUAGAGAGACUCCACCACUCAAUAAGAGAACUAGGGGUGAACAGAUUGUUGAGUGAAUCCAACAGAUAGGGAAUUGAGUUAAAAGGGUUUAUGGGCAUUUUCUAAUAUAAUGAAAGAGCACUAUGUAAACAACAAGGUGUAAGCAACCAUUUUGGAAAAAUGGGUAAAGGAUUGUAUUUGGCAAAUAUUUGUAAUAAUGUUAAUUGAUUUUUAUUUUUUAUUUUUCUUUACGUUUAGAUUUUGGUUAUCUGUGGUUGUGAGCUCCUUUAGAGGAGCUCAAAAGAGGGAUUUUGUUAGAAAUUUAUUACUUAUUAAUUGUAGCUCUUUCAUUUCUUUCUAUGAAUGUAGCUGUGUUAUGCCAAUGUAUGUUAUAUAGUUGUGUCAUGUUUAUGCAUGUAAUUUAGCUGUGUCAUGUUCAUGUAUGUACGUCAAGAGGGGCCAGGGUCUGUGGUGCCAAGGCCAGAUAAUACAGAACGUAAAGGACCACACCCGGCCAAUUCCUAGAACACCAGUUGUUUACACAUGUGUAUAAAAGUGGUUGGAAGGAAAGAGUUGUUGUUGAAGAUGGCCUGAACAUACGUGAGGGACACCUCCAACCCGGAGCUCUGUAUCUAUUGAAUUAUUCAAAUGUAUUCAUUAAAUGGCUAAUACUUUUGCAUUGAAGAAAAA